AUUGAACGCUGGCGGCAUGCUUUACACAUGCAAGUCGAACGGCAGCGCGGGCUUCGGCCUGGCGGCGAGUGGCGAACGGGUGAGUAAUACAUCGGAACGUGCCCAGUAGUGGGGGAUAGCUCGGCGAAAGCCGGAUUAAUACCGCAUACGACCUGAGGGUGAAAGCGGGGGAUCUUCGGACCUCGUGCUAUUUGAGCGGCCGAUGGCAGAUUAGCUAGUUGGUGGGGUAAAGGCCUACCAAGGCGACGAUCUGUAGCUGGUCUGAGAGGACGACCAGCCACACUGGGACUGAGACACGGCCCAGACUCCUACGGGAGGCAGCAGUGGGGAAUUUUGGACAAUGGGCGAAAGCCUGAUCCAGCAAUGCCGCGUGUGUGAUGAAGGCCUUCGGGUUGUAAAGCACUUUUGGCGGGAACGAAAAGGACUGUGCCAAUACCACGGUUCGAUGACGGUACCCGCAGAAUAAGCACCGGCUAACUACGUG
This 484-nucleotide ribosomal RNA is filed under the name uncultured bacterium. RNAcentral's name for it is "partial 16S ribosomal RNA". It matches the Rfam family "Bacterial small subunit ribosomal RNA", at positions 30 to 507 of the family's 1533-position model. The record is from RNAcentral.